Long non-coding RNA from Pseudophryne corroboree (corroboree frog), 176 nucleotides. RefSeq lists it as uncharacterized. The transcript is spliced from 2 exons. The record is from RefSeq and is a predicted model, not a curated record. Lineage: Eukaryota; Metazoa; Chordata; Amphibia; Anura; Myobatrachidae.
UCGGCCCAUGCCCUGUGGCUAUAUAAUCUCUCAUCCGGCAGUUUACUGCCAUUCCAUCUUGGAAGCUUCAGCAAAACAUCUCGAGUUACCAAUUUGCCUACAAUUUCUUACAACUCAAUGGCACCCCGCACACCAAAGAAGCCCGCAGGCCGCAAACGGAGAAGAAGAUCCACAAU